GAUGAACGCUGGCGGCGUGCCUAACACAUGCAAGUCGAGCGGAAGGACGCUGCUUGCACGUUGCUCGAGUGGCGGACGGGUGAGUAACACCUAGGUGACUUGCCCUGCGCUUCGGGUUACGCCCGGGAAAGUGGGCUUAUACCCCAUACGUCGUGAUGUUGAAUGUGAUGGUUCGAAAGUCCUUUCGGUAUCGGAUGAGCCUAGGGCCUAUUAGCUAGUUGGUGGGGUAAUGGCCUACCAAGGCGGCGAUGCGUAGCCGGUCUGAGAGGGUGAACAGGCACACUGGAACUGGGACGCGGCACAGACUCCUAGGGGAGGCAGAGGUGGGGAAUAUUGGAAAAUGUGGGAAAGCCUGAACAAGGCAUGCCGGGUGGGUGAAGAAGGGCUGCGGAUUGUAAAACACUUUUAGGGGGGAAAAAGGGCAGUGAGAGGAAACAUGGCUGUUUUGACGGUACCUAGAUAAGAAGCACCGGCUAACUACGUG
This 484-nucleotide ribosomal RNA is filed under the name uncultured bacterium. RNAcentral's name for it is "partial 16S ribosomal RNA". It matches the Rfam family "Bacterial small subunit ribosomal RNA", at positions 28 to 507 of the family's 1533-position model. The record is from RNAcentral.